UUGUAAUAUUCAUGGGUGCUCGGCGAGCAGAGACGAAAAUGGAUGGACGAGAUAUCAGGGGAUUCGAUCUGACAACACCCCCGGUUUUCUCCCAUUUGGGUUCUUUU
Caenorhabditis elegans is the source of this 107-nucleotide non-coding RNA. The record is from Ensembl. NCBI's taxonomy places the organism in Eukaryota, Metazoa, Nematoda, Chromadorea, Rhabditida, Rhabditidae.